UGGUUAUAAGAAAUAGGCAGAGUCUGGUCAUAUGGGGCUAAAUGAUAUAAACCAAGGUCAUUGCACUGAAUUCAGUGGAAAGAUGGCAAUCUUGUGCCACAGCUUUCCUGUAGUCCUUCUGCUUUGUUAUUAAAAGGGUGGCUGCUGGUGGCUCUGGAAAAGAUCACAGUCCUCAGCCCUACAGGAAUGACAGUGGAGAGAUAAGGGGCAGGCACACUUCUCCUCAACCCCUGGGUGCUACCUGGCAGUGUCUGGGGAGAUCUGCACAGCUGAUAAACAUCCCUCUGUGUGCUGCCAAAACUCCCUAUUUGUGGUGCAUCCCAUCAAAUGCGUAUUCACGGGGAAGCUCAGAAAAAUGGCUCCUGUGAAUGGCAGGCUGGCCUCUGGGGAGGUAAAUGGGAAGUUCCAGGGAAGCCAAAAAGCGCAGGUGGGGAGUGGGACCAAGCUGGGAUGGAUGACUCCCUUUCCUACAGAUCCCAACCACACAACCUCAUGGUUUGCUUGCAAGCAAGCGGGAUACUCUCCCUUUCCACACUCAGCAGUAAUGCAUGCAAAUCCCUCAUCAGAGAGGCCACCACUGUGUUAAACUAGAGCAAUUUAGAUGAGGACUAUAUGAGUAUUCUGAAUGCUGUACUUUGUCUCUGCCUUUCUGUUUUGUCAAGGAUUGCACAAAUUUGCAAGCUUUCGUAUUUAAGUAAAUUAUAUAUAUGCUUCUAUUCUCCCGAAUGGCAAAUCCAGUCCUAUGUACCAAGAAAGCAGACGGCAGUGUUUUGUUUUUAGCUAGUUAAGCAGUCUGAAGUGAUCCAAGAAGGAGAACUCAAGGAAAAUAGAACAUUAUUUCACACCCCAAGCAGUGUGCUUAGUUACAAGACUCUCGCCAAAUACAAACGUAGUAUCUCUGCUAAAAUUAGGAUAUUAGUUCUAAUUACUGGGCACACAAAAGUCUCAAAAUUCUGGAGCUGAACUGAUAGUGUUGCUAUGGAAAUAAGCUUAACUACUACAGACCAGCUAACAAACUUAAUGUUGCUAUCUUUACAAGCUACCUCUGCUCCCAAAAGUUUCUGUUCUUUUCCUCCCUCAAAUGGGACUAAAUAUCUCUAUUGUUAACAGAAAUUAAAUUCAGAUGUACCAAAGUCCACGGCUACUCUAUGAACAGCUUGACAGAGGAUAAUGCAAGGGAAACACAAGGAGCGGUGCUUCAGUGUAACCAUUGCAAACAAUUAAAACCACAUUUUUAUCAAUAUACUAUUUCAAACACACAAGGCAGUGCAACUUGCCAUGUUCUUCCCACACUUCUUCUCCACCUCACAUAGGAGGAAAAUUUAUGAGGAAAGCCAUGCAGCAGAGGCUUUUCCUUCCCUCCCCAGACUUCGGUUACUGAUUGCUUUCCACGAAUAUAUGUAAGUGUGCAUAUAAGUACAUAUAUGUGCAUAUGAAUAUAUGCAUAUAUGCACACACAAAUGAAUAUAUGUACACAAGAAAAGGAUCAUUCAUGAGGAGACUUUCAUGUUUUGCUUUCCCACAGUGGGAACCC
RNAcentral lists this long non-coding RNA (1534 nucleotides) under Strigops habroptila (Kakapo). RNAcentral describes it as "lncRNA (ENSSHBG00005015811.1)". The record is from RNAcentral. Lineage: Eukaryota; Metazoa; Chordata; Aves; Psittaciformes; Psittacidae.